Molecule: ribosomal RNA, 504 nt
Filed under: uncultured soil bacterium
Lineage: Bacteria
Description: bacterial SSU rRNA
Rfam family: Bacterial small subunit ribosomal RNA
Source: RNAcentral
AGAGUGAACGCUGGCGGUAGGCCUAACACAUGCAAGUCGAACGGCAGCACAGUAGGAGCUUGCUCUUACGGGUGGCGAGUGGCGGGCGGGUGAGGAAUACAUCGGAAUCUACCUUUUGGUGGGGGAUAACGUAGGGAAACUUACGCUAAUACCGCAUACGCCCUUCGGGGGAAAGCCGGGGACCAGCAGUGGCCUGGUGCUGAUAGAUGAGCCGAUGUCGGAUUAGCUAGUUGGUGAGGUAAUGGCUCACCAAGGCGACGAUCCGUAGCUGGUCUGAGAGGAUGAUCAGCCACACUGGAACUGAGACACGGUCCAGACUCCUACGGGAGGCAGCAGUGGGGAAUAUUGGACAAUGGGCGCAAGCCUGAUCCAGCCAUACCGCGUGGUGAAGAAGGCCUUGGUUGUAAAGCCCUUUGUUAGGAAAGAAAAGCAAUUCGGUUAAUACCGGGUAGUUCUGACGUACCCUAAAGAAUAAGACACCGGCUAACUCGUGCCAGCACGCCG